RNAcentral lists this ribosomal RNA (497 nucleotides) under uncultured bacterium. RNAcentral's name for it is "partial 16S ribosomal RNA". It matches the Rfam family "Bacterial small subunit ribosomal RNA", at positions 28 to 507 of the family's 1533-position model. The record is from RNAcentral.
GAUGAACGCUGGCGGCGUGCCUAAUACAUGCAAGUCGAGCGAACGGACGAGAAGCUUGCUUCUCUGAUGUUAGCGGCGGACGGGUGAGUAACACGUGGAUAACCUACCUAUAAGACUGGGAUAACUUCGGGAAACCGGAGCUAAUACCGGAUAAUAUUUUGAACCGCAUGGUUCAAAAGUAAAAGACGGCCUUGCUGUCACUUAUAGAUGGAUCCGCGCUGCAUUAGCUAGUUGGUAAGGUAACGGCUUACCAAGGCAACGAUGCAUAGCCGACCUGAGAGGGUGAUCGGCCACACUGGAACUGAGACACGGUCCAGACUCCUACGGGAGGCAGCAGUAGGGAAUCUUCCGCAAUGGGCGAAAGCCUGACGGAGCAACGCCGCGUGAGUGAUGAAGGUCUUCGGAUCGUAAAACUCUGUUAUUAGGGAAGAACAUAUGUGUAAGUAACUGUGCACAUCUUGACGGUACCUAAUCAGAAAGCCACGGCUAACUACGUG